UACAGAGGUCUCGAGCGUUUAGGCGGAAUCACUGGGCUUAAAGCGUGUGUAGGCGGAUCGGUAAGUACCUUGUGAAAUCCCACAGCUUAACUGUGGAACUGCUUGGUAUACUGCCAGUCUUGAGCCAGCUAGGGGCUACCGGAACAAAUGGUGGAGCGGUGAAAUGCGUAGAGAUCCGGAGGAAGACCGGUGGCGAAGGCGGCCUGAGCUGGGCAGUUACUGGACACUGAGUGCGCGACAGCGUGGGGAGCAAACAGGG
This 259-nucleotide ribosomal RNA is filed under the name uncultured bacterium. RNAcentral's name for it is "partial 16S ribosomal RNA". It matches the Rfam family "Bacterial small subunit ribosomal RNA", at positions 524 to 777 of the family's 1533-position model. The record is from RNAcentral.